UAAACCAGUCUCUCCAGUAGAGUCACACGUCACUGAAGAGGUCUAAACUAUUUCCUCAAUCGUUUCCUCGUUCAUUCUAUAUUUCUUCGCAGUGAUUUUACGGUUUGUAGUAAACGUCUCUGAGGAUUUCAAUGCACAAAUCUGAAUUAGGAAUUAAACCUGGAAUAAAUAAACAGAUCUGGAUUCUGCUCUUCUCUGGAAGCUCAGAAUAAGACUUCAUUUGAGUGAAAUCAUCAGAAAACGGUGAGAGAUGACAGUGAGAGGACAAGAUGCAGCCGAAGAGGAAGAAAAGACAAGAAAGCAAACAAUGGAGAGAGAGGAAGACAAGCCUGCGCAGAAGAAAACAACACUGAAGAGAGGGAAAGAAAACAGCUGUGGAUUCGCAGAACAUCUGACAGUGCAGCAGAAAAACAGCCUCGACAACUACAGACCAAAGUUCUCUCUGGAUCCAGACGGACCUGCUGAACACAAAUUCACAGACGAGAAAGCCUCUGUUUCCCUGCUCUGACUGCAGAACAUCUCUUUCAGUAAUGAUUCACAAUGAGACUGGAAGAUGAAACACUUUCCUCUGAAAAUGCUCUAGUUUUAAGAGUUUUAAGAUUUCUUCUUUUUUAAGAACGUCUUCAGUUAAGAAAACGCCAUUUCUGCGUCACAACUCACAUAUCAUCCAUCCUAAAUAGUGCUCAAAAAUUGAAUUAAUCUGUCAUAAAUCAAUAUAUGCUAAAAUGAGUUUUCCAAAGUCGACAAGCAUAAAAUCAGGUAAAAAAUCAGGUAAUUAGAAAAAGCAAACUCAAACAUGUCCUCUACCGUGAUGUACAUCCAUUUGAAGCUGUUCUGAAAGUAAAACAAACUGUAGGGUGGUGCAUGAUUAUGUCCUUUGGAAACCAAUCGGAUGAUUGGAAGAUGGGAGUUGCAAGUCAAAUGAAAGAAGAUUGAUGAUUGGAUAAGGUCAGAGCAGAAAUGAGAUACACGUUAAUAAUCCCGCACCAAAGCACUAUUAGCCCUGCUCUAAAGGACUAAUAGUUCCGCCCAAAGGACUAAUAGCCCUACCCUGAAGGACUAAGAGUCCCACCCCAAAUGACUAAUAGCUCCACCCAAAGGACUAAUAGCUCUGCCCUAAAGGACUGAUAGUCCCACCCCAAAAGACUAAUAGCUCAGCCCAAAAGGACUGGUAGCCCCGUCCUAAAGAACUAAUAGCUCCGCCCUAAAAGACUAAUAGCCCUGCCACAAAGCACUAAUAGCUCCACCCUAAAGGACUAGUAGUCCCGCCUAAAAAGACUAAUAGCUCCGCCCUAAAAGACUAGUAGUCCCGCCUAAAAGGACUAAUAGCUCCGCCCUAAAAGACUAAUAGGCCUGCCCCAAAGCACUAAUAGCUCCGCCCUAAAGGACUAGUAGUCCCGCCUAAAAGGACUUAUAGCUCGGCCCCUCAAGGACUGAAAGUCCUGCCCCAUUUGACUAAUAGCCCUGCCCUAAAGAACUAAUAGUCCCGCUCCAAAGGACUGAUAGCCCUGCCCUAAAGGACUAAUAGUCCCGCCCCAUAUGACUAAUAGCCCUGCCCUAAAGGACUGAUAGCUCCACCCUAAGGACAGACUAUGUGACCAAAAGUUAAGAAAAGUCAUUUCAAGGGGUGAGAGACGAUUACAAUUUGAUAAAAAAUUCUCAGGGCAAAUUAAUUUUUACAAAAUAAUGAACAGAUACCUUAUUUAUUACAAGCAAUACUAGGCAUUCAAUUUAGAUUUCAUAGCAACUUUAAGUGGAAAGGCUUUGGUUAAAAUGUUCGAAUGAUUCCAAAUAGUUAACCAAUAGAAAAUACUCACACACUCAAAAGUAUGUACUUUUUUGUACGAAAGGUAGUAUAAGUAGAUUAAUCGGGAUGCAGCACAUGUCCACAUUGAAGGUCAAAGAUCAUCAAAGAUAUCUUCAAAGAUAUCUAUAAGCCAGUGUGGGACAAAACAAUGACAAAUUUUGCAUUUAUAAGAUAUAAAACCAUUAUAAACAUGUAAAUCUUGCAGAUUGUCACUUCCGCCUAAAUGGGUCAACAGUUUUCACAUCAUCUCAUUUAGUUUCUCAUCAAAUCUUCUGACCAAUCAGAUGCUCUCUAGUGUCUGACAUGCCCCGCCCCCUUCAAGAUGCUUUUCAUUUGAUGCGCUUGAGCUCAACCACACACAAAUGCGGAGUCAAAUUCGGAUCAAAUUUGCAUUUGAAGAGGCUCCUUUUGUUGAUGUCAGUUUGACGCUUCAGCCACAAUCUUCUAAGCCACGCCCCCUUUACCGUUAAUUUACUAUGAGGGAAUGAUGUGCAGAAAGAAAGCCCCGCCCCCUACUUAAUAUUCCGUUUCAGUUGGAAGUACAUCAGCACACUGAAAUAAAAGUCUCAGCAACUUUUGUUUCACGUUAGCUUUAUAUCACACGUAUGAAAACGAUGACGCAUUUAAGCCAUGUGAACAAAACAUUAUAAAAAUGAUACUUUGCAGUGUUCUCUGAAUGUUUCAAGUCAAAAACACAUGCAUAUGCAAAAAGCUUGAUUAGACUUUUGGACGAUUGUGAAAUGCGAUGACGUUUCUCGUAAGAUUUUUGUACAAACGUUUGCUCAUUCCUUCUGAGAAUGUUGAGUGGGCCUAUAUCUGUACUGUGUACAUUCAUAAACCUAUUUUUGGUUUUGGUUUAAUAGUAAAUAAAUUAGACAGGCGUUUUCAUGCGAUAGUAGGAAGCAGAAACACUGAGAUCCUCCUGUUUGAACUGCAGAUCCAUACAGUAGAUUUCAUCUCUAGUUUGAGCAUUAAUAAUAAUUACUGUAGCAGAAAUGCCAAUGUUUUUCUAUAUGAUUACAGUAACUGGAGAUUUCCUCAAGCUUCAUUACUGCUGUCAACACUGUAAAAGACACCCGUAAAUUAGCAGUUUUCUGUAUUUUGCGAUUGAUGAACAUUUUGUUAAGUGUCUUCAGAGUGUUUAAGGACAUUUACUGCAUUAGACCAUUGUGUUUAUUCCUUUCUGAAUGAUUUUAGAUGUCAAGACAACACUAAUUUGUCAUUAAAGCUGUCCGUUGCUUUGCAAAGCAAAAUAAAUAUGAACUAUUAAGCCAACAAA
This is a non-coding RNA of Danio rerio (zebrafish), 3086 nucleotides long. Lineage: Eukaryota; Metazoa; Chordata; Actinopteri; Cypriniformes; Danionidae. The record is from RefSeq and is a predicted model, not a curated record.